This 492-nucleotide ribosomal RNA is filed under the name uncultured bacterium. RNAcentral describes it as "partial 16S ribosomal RNA". It matches the Rfam family "Bacterial small subunit ribosomal RNA", at positions 29 to 507 of the family's 1533-position model. The record is from RNAcentral.
AGUGAACGCUGGCGGUAGGCCUAACACAUGCAAGUCGAACGGCAGCACAGUAAGAGCUUGCUCUUACGGGUGGCGAGUGGCGGACGGGUGAGGAAUACAUCGGAAUCUACUUUUUCGUGGGGGAUAACGUAGGGAAACUUACGCUAAUACCGCAUACGACCUACGGGUGAAAGCAGGGGAUCUUCGGACCUUGCGCGAUUGAAUGAGCCGAUGUCGGAUUAGCUAGUUGGCGGGGUAAAGGCCCACCAAGGCGACGAUCCGUAGCUGGUCUGAGAGGAUGAUCAGCCACACUGGAACUGAGACACGGUCCAGACUCCUACGGGAGGCAGCAGUGGGGAAUAUUGGACAAUGGGCGCAAGCCUGAUCCAGCCAUGCCGCGUGGAUGAAGAAGGCCUUCGGGUUGUAAAGCCCUUUUGUUGGGAAAGAAAAGCAGCAGGUUAAUACCCCGCUGUUCUGACGGUACCCAAAGAAUAAGCACCGGCUAACUUCGUG